GGGGACGAAAGGCUUUCGACAGGGCUAUUGAACCUCGGUCAGCGGGUAGCGGAGUUGCACCGCUUAAAAAGUAACAACUUAAAAUUAACUGACAAUAAUAAGACAGUUCUGAAGGCUGCGUAAGCACCCUUCCGUCCUGCCCGGGACUGCCGCAGCUCGGGUAAGGGCGUCGACUCAGCGGCGAACAUGAACGGGUGAGCGUACCGGCUCCCGUCAGGUAAUAGGUACUACCGUAGGCGAUAGGCUGUUUGUUGCCGCUCGUUGAGGGGAAUCCUAAAGAACAAACUACACCCGUAGAACCCUUGGGAAUACAGUUUUGGACGCGGGUUCAAUUCCCGCCGUCUCCACCA
This 350-nucleotide transfer-messenger RNA is filed under the name Oscillospiraceae bacterium. It matches the Rfam family "transfer-messenger RNA". From Rfam's summary of the family: Bacterial tmRNA, also known as 10Sa RNA or SsrA, is named for its dual tRNA and mRNA-like properties. Its role is to liberate the mRNA from a stalled ribosome. The record is from RNAcentral. RNAcentral also lists the same sequence under 1 other name. Lineage: Bacteria; Bacillati; Bacillota; Clostridia; Eubacteriales; Oscillospiraceae.